CCUACGGGGGGCUGCAGUGAGGAAUAUUGGUCAAUGGGGGAAACCCUGAUGCAGCGACGCCGCGUGAGUGAAGAAGUAUUUCGGUACGUAAAGCUCUAUCAGCAGGGAAGAAAAUGACGGUACCUGACUAAGAAGCCCCGGCUAACUACGUGCCAGCAGCCGCGGUAAUACGUAGGGGGCAAGCGUUAUCCGGAUUUACUGGGUGUAAAGGGAGCGUAGACGGCAGCGCAAGUCUGGAGUGAAAUCCCAUGGCUUAACCAUGGAACUGCUUUGGAAACUGUGCAGCUAGAGUGCAGGAGAGGUAAGCGGAAUUCCUAGUGUAGCGGUGAAAUGCGUAGAUAUUAGGAGGAACACCAGUGGCGAAGGCGGCUUACUGGACUGUAACUGACGUUGAGGCUCGAAAGCGUGGGGAGCAAACAGGAUUAGAUACCCCAGUAGUC
RNAcentral lists this ribosomal RNA (440 nucleotides) under uncultured bacterium. RNAcentral describes it as "partial 16S ribosomal RNA". It matches the Rfam family "Bacterial small subunit ribosomal RNA", at positions 338 to 795 of the family's 1533-position model. The record is from RNAcentral.